AACCGGGAAGCAUUUCCGGGGGCGGGAGGCGCAGGCUGAGUCGGUCGCGGCGGCGACGGCUUGAACGGGCCUGAAGCCGGUGGCGGAAAGUGUCCCGCGGAAGUCAGUGUGAUUCUAAUUUGAAGCAAAACUGAGAAAUGGGUUCCUCUUCCUCAUUCAUCCAUACUGCUUUGUGAUGGCCAUGGCAUAAGGGGCUUUUUUCCAGGAUAACACCUUUGGAUUAGGACCUGUCCCAUAGUCCACCCUGGGAUUUGAGCCACAGCCAGACCUUCCAAGUGAACAGGCGUUAGUGUUCUUCUCUCAAGAUUGCUACUAUUAUACCAGGAUUGCCUGGGGAACUGGGUGGAGUUGCAGAGCAC
Molecule: long non-coding RNA, 359 nt
Filed under: Lynx canadensis (Canada lynx)
Lineage: Eukaryota; Metazoa; Chordata; Mammalia; Carnivora; Felidae
Description: lncRNA (ENSLCNG00005020127.1)
Source: RNAcentral